This 131-nucleotide small nucleolar RNA is filed under the name Hucho hucho (huchen). The record is from RNAcentral. Lineage: Eukaryota; Metazoa; Chordata; Actinopteri; Salmoniformes; Salmonidae.
GUGCACUGUUCGCAACCUGGUUCACUCUCAGUAUGACUUUGGGUUCCAUUCAGAUGCUAGAUGAAACUUCAGUAAGACAGGGAAGUGUCCCCUUGUGUGUGCUGUUCACUGUUGACUCUCUGGGAACAUUG